RNAcentral lists this ribosomal RNA (465 nucleotides) under uncultured bacterium. Its description in RNAcentral is "bacterial SSU rRNA". It matches the Rfam family "Bacterial small subunit ribosomal RNA", at positions 338 to 795 of the family's 1533-position model. The record is from RNAcentral.
CCUACGGGGGGCACCAGUGGGGAAUAUUGCGCAAUGGGCGCAAGCCUGAUGCAGCCAUGCCGCGUGUGUGAAGAAGGCCUUCGGGUUGUAAAGCACUUUCAGCGAGGAGGAAGGUGGUGAACUUAAUACGUUCAUCAAUUGACGUUACUCGCAGAAGAAGCACCGGCUUACUCCGUGCCAGCAGCCGCGGUAAUACGGAGGGUGCAAGCGUUAAUCGGAAUUACUGGGCGUAAAGCGCACGCAGGCGGUUUGUUAAGUCAGAUGUGAAAUCCCCGGGCUCAACCUGGGAACUGCAUUCGAAACUGGCAAGCUAGAGUCUCGUAGAGGGGGGUAGAAUUCCGGGUGUAGCGGUGAAAUGCGUAGAGAUCUGGAGGAAUACCGGUGGCGAAGGCGGCCCCCUGGACGAAGACUGACGCUCAGGUGCGAAAGCGUGGGGAGCAAACAGGAUUAGAUACCCCUGUAGUC